UGCGGACUGGUGUAACGGUAGCACUAAUGACUCUGGAUCAUUCUGUGAGGGUUCGAAUCCUUCGUCCGCAGCCA
RNAcentral lists this transfer RNA (74 nucleotides) under Clostridiaceae bacterium. RNAcentral's name for it is "tRNA-Gln". It matches the Rfam family "tRNA". From Rfam's summary of the family: Transfer RNA (tRNA) molecules are approximately 80 nucleotides in length. Their secondary structure includes four short double-helical elements and three loops (D, anti-codon, and T loops). Further hydrogen bonds mediate the characteristic L-shaped molecular structure. tRNAs have two regions of fundamental functional importance: the anti-codon, which is responsible for specific mRNA codon recognition, and the 3' end, to which the tRNAs corresponding amino acid is attached (by aminoacyl-tRNA synthetases). tRNAs cope with the degeneracy of the genetic code in two manners: having more than one tRNA (with a specific anti-codon) for a particular amino acid; and 'wobble' base-pairing, i.e. permitting non-standard base-pairing at the 3rd anti-codon position. RNAcentral also lists the same sequence under 1 other name. Lineage: Bacteria; Bacillati; Bacillota; Clostridia; Eubacteriales; Clostridiaceae. The record is from RNAcentral.